This is a long non-coding RNA of Scaptodrosophila lebanonensis, 949 nucleotides long. RefSeq lists it as uncharacterized. NCBI's taxonomy places the organism in Eukaryota, Metazoa, Arthropoda, Insecta, Diptera, Drosophilidae. The transcript has 2 exons. The record is from RefSeq and is a predicted model, not a curated record.
UUAAUAAUGAAUCUAUUAUAAAAAAGAGGAAUCUAGAAAACUGACAAAAGUCUUUGAAACAAUUAACAAAACGCUAAUCAGUAUAAGCGAAAAAAGUUUAAGAGAGAUGAUAUUGACAAAAGUUAAUCAUUUUAUUCAUACCCCGAAAAUCAGUCCAAACAUUGAAAACACAGAGAUUGGAAUUGUCAACACCGUUUAUUUUCUUGGUCAUUGGAAAUAUAACUUUGUUCCAAUUAGUUCAAAUCAAAUGAAAGAAUCCAUUUUCAACUUCGACAUCGGUUUGCUGUUCCCAUACAUACAAGUAUACUGGUAAGGACAUCGAUCUUACCAACCACAACCAGGCAUGGAAGGACAGACAUCGUUAAAGCAACCACAGGUAUUUGGGACAUAGUAGAAAUUGCAACAGCAGGCAGGCGGAGCAGAAGGACAGCAGCCACAAUAUUUCAGUUCGGGCAGACAGGGCCCGACGGGGCCACAGCGUAACGCAUACGAGAUCUGACAACACGGAGAAUUCAUCCUGAUGCCGUCUAGCGGUGGUAUAUUAUUUUAGUUUAGUAUACGAUUAAGUAUCUAUCACAUUUCUACAUACCUAUGGUACUAUUCUACACAAGAAACAAGACACGGGCACAGUCGAAUUUGAAUCUAUUUCAUUGCCUAUUGGGGAGUGUUGCGAACGUUUUCUGACCUAUCAAAAUACUCGCCUACUGCUGUAAAAUAUAUGGAAAGCAUUUUUUUUUUCAGAUUAUCUGAGUACGAGAUAGCUUAGCUUUGAUUGGAGCCCACUGAUUUAUUUGAUGGUGGCCAGACCUUCACAAAAUAAAUAGUCGGUCUAAGACUGUCUAAUUCGGAGCCGAACUACUGAAUCAAUAGCUGGGCAUGAUAAUUAGUAUUCCCAAUAUACUUUAAUAUAUUGAAAGUUUGCAUAUAAACUAUUAUAGAUACACACAAA